Molecule: ribosomal RNA, 467 nt
Filed under: uncultured bacterium
Lineage: Bacteria
Description: partial 16S ribosomal RNA
Rfam family: Bacterial small subunit ribosomal RNA
Source: RNAcentral
GACGAACGCUGGCGGCGUGCUUAACACAUGCAAGUCGAACGGAAAGGCCUCAGCUUGCUGGGGUACUCGAGUGGCGAACGGGUGAGUAACACGUGGGUGAUCUGCCUUGCACUCUGGGAUAAGCUUGGGAAACUGGGUCUAAUACCGGAUAUGAACUGCCUUUAGUGUGGUGGUUGGAAAGUUUUUUCGGUGCAAGAUGAGCUCGCGGCCUAUCAGCUUGUUGGUGGGGUAAUGGCCUACCAAGGCGUCGACGGGUAGCCGGCCUGAGAGGGUGUACGGCCACAUUGGGACUGAGAUACGGCCCAGACUCCUACGGGAGGGAGAAGUGGGGAAUAUUGCACAAUGGGCGGAAGCCUGAUGCAGCGACGCCGCGUGGGGGAUGACGGCCUUCGGGUUGUAAACUCCUUUCGACAGGGACGAAGCUUUUUGUGACGGUACCUGUAUAAGAAGCACCGGCUAACUACGUG